UAUAGAGGCGCGGAAAAGAUGAGUAUUUACUGACAGACAGCCAAGUUAUUACGCAGUAUUGAAAGGCAAUUCCGCCGAAGGAUUUUAUGUGGCAUAUAAAAUUCUGAUUGUAUAUCUAAGAGGUAUACAAUUGUCAUCAUACAUUAUUUAUGGUGGAGUGCUAUCGG
Molecule: non-coding RNA, 167 nt
Filed under: human gut metagenome
Description: Lysine riboswitch
Rfam family: Lysine riboswitch aptamer
About the family: Riboswitches are metabolite binding domains within certain messenger RNAs that serve as precision sensors for their corresponding targets. Allosteric rearrangement of mRNA structure is mediated by ligand binding, and this results in modulation of gene expression.
Source: RNAcentral